UAUAGAGUGGCUGUAGGGUAUUAGGGUAUAGAGUGGCUGUAGGGUAUUAGGGUAUAGAGUGGCUGUAGGGUAUGGAGUGGCUGUAUGUUAUUAGGGUAUAGAGUGGCUGUAGGGUAUAGAGUGGCUGUAUGGUAUUAGGGUAUAGAGUGGCUGUAGGGUAUUAGGGUAUAGAGUGGCUGUAGGGUAUGGAGUGGCUGUAUGUUAUUGGGGUAUAGAGUGGCUGUAGGGUAUAGAGUGGCUGUAUGUUAUUAGGGUAUAGAGUGGCUGUAGGGUAUAGAGUGGCUGUAUGUUAUUAGGGUAUAGAGUGGCUGUAGGGUAUAGAGUGGCUGUAUGUUAUUAGGGUAUAGAGUGGCUGUAUGUUAUUAGGGUAUAGAGUGGCUGUAGGGUAUAGAGUGGCUGUAUGGUAUUAGGGUAUAGAGUGGCUGUAGGGUAUGGAGUGGCUGUAUGUUAUUAGGGUAUGGAGUGGCUGUAUGUUAUUAGGGUAUAGAGUGGCUGUAUGUUAUUAGGGUAUGGAGUGGCUGUAUGUUAUUAGGGUAUAGAGUGGCUGUAUGGUAUGGAGUGGCUGUAUGUUAUUAGGCUAUAGAGUGGCUGUAUGUUAUUAGGGUAUAGAGUGGCUGUAUGUUAUUAGGGUAUAGAGUGGCUGUAUGUUAUUAGGGUAUGGAGUGGCUGUAUGUUAUUAGGCUAUAGAGUGGCUGUAUGUUAUUAGGGUAUAGAGUGGCUGUAUGUUACUAAGCCCUUGCAGAUAAACCACAUGAUCAAAAUCGCAUCAUUUCAUGUUUGCAACAUCAUAAGAGGGUGGCAGAGCUUCAAACAGGAAGCUACCAUCCAAGCACAACGUUUUUUUUCCUGUUUUGAUGUUAAAGUUAUAAAACUGCCAUAAAUAAGGCACUGCCAAAUUCUGAUGUAUAUGUACAUACUAUGUACUGGUGUAUAUGUACAUACUAUGUACUGGUGUAUAUGUACAUACUAUGUACUGGUGUAUAUGUACAUACUAUGUACUGAUGUAUAUGUACAUACUAUGUACUGGUGUAUAUGUACAUACUAUGUACUGGUGCAUCAAAAUACAUACAAAAGUUGCCAAUAUCGUAUUUUAAUUUUGUAAUUUUGUAUUUUUUGUUAUUGUCCCGCCAUACCAACCCUAGCUAGCUAAAGUAGGACAGCACAGUGUAGUUAAAGAAGGACAGCACAGUGUAGCUAAAGUAAGUAGGACAGCACAGUGUAGUUAAAGAAGGACAGCACAGUGUAGCUAAAGAAGGACAGCACAGUGUAGUUAAAGUAAGUAGGACAGCACAGUGUAUGUAGUUAAAGACAGCACAGUGUAGCUGAAGUAGGACAGCACAGUGUAGCUAAAGUAGGACAGCACAGUGUAGUUAAAGAAGGACAGCACAGUGUAGCUAAAGUAGGACAGCACAGUGUAGCUAAAGAAGGACAGCACAGUGUAGCUAAAGUAGGACAGCACAGUGUAGCUGAAGUAGGACAGCACAGUGUAGCUAAAGUAGGACAGCACAAUGUAGCUAAAAUAGAACAACACAUAGUAGCUAAAGUAGAACAGCAUGGAGUAGCUAAAGUAGGACAGCACAGUGUUGCUAAAGUAGGACAGCACAGUGUAGCUAAAGUAGGACAGCACAGUGUAGCUGAAGUAGGACAGCACAGUGUAGCUAAAAUAGAACAACACGGAGUAGCUAAAGUAGAAAAACAUGGAGUUGCUAAUGUAGGACAGCAUGGAGUAGCUAAAGUAGGACAGUAUGGAGUAGCUAAAGUAGGACAGCAUGGAGUAGCUAAAGUAGGAUUGCAUGGAGUAGCUUAAGUAGGACAGUAUGGAGUAGCUAAAGUAGGACCGCACAGUGUAGCUAAAAUAGAACAACAUGGAGUAGCUAAAGUAGAACAGCAUGGAGUAGCUAAAGUAGGACAGCACAGUGUAGCUAAAGUAGGACAGCACAGUGUAGCUAAAGUAGGACAGCACAAUGUAGCUAAAAUAGAACAACACAGAGUAGCUAAAGUAGAACAGCAUGGAGUAGCUAAAGUAGGACAGCACAGUGUAGCUAAAGUAGGACAGCACAGUGUAGCUAAAGUAGGACAGCACAGUGUAGCGAAAGUAGGGCAGCAUGGAGUAGCUAAAGUAGAACAGUCUUAUAGGCUUUUCCAUUCGAGGAAAGAGAUCCAGUUUACAUUAGGAACCCCCUGUACUUAGGUUAGGCAGGGACCGGGAUCUUGUAGUACUAUAUACAAUUUUGUUGUACUGUUAUUAAUACUAUUAUUAAUACUGUUGAGUGCAUUCAGAAUAAGUGGGGCACUUUUUUAAUUUCCAUCUUCUACAAUCUCUUCAGACAUCUAUCCAACAUAUUAGCCCGAUACAUUUCUGAAAUUCUCAGAUGUUUCCUAAUCAAUCACAAAUUGAAUUGAUUUGUCAUUGGGGUACACACCCAUUUGCGUACGCUGAGUCAAAACCAAUAUUUUCUGUUUUGCAUUUGGUAGAUUGGGACAACAGGUUAGAUACACUGGGACAACAGGUACAUUAUGUAUGGAUUUAUAGACACCCCAGACCAGGAUGUAGAUACAUUAUGUAUGGAUAUAUAGACACCCCAGACCAGGAUGUAGAUACAUUAUGUAUGGAUAUAUAGACACCCCAGACCAGGAUGUAGAUACAUUAUGUUUGGAUAUAUAGACACCCCAGACCAGGAUGUAGAUACAUUAUGUAUGGAUAUAUAGACACCCCAGACCAGGAUGUAGAUACAUUAUGUUUGGAUAUAUAGACACCCCAGACCAGGAUGUAGAUACAUUAUGUAUGGAUAUAUAGAC
Oncorhynchus tshawytscha (Chinook salmon) is the source of this 2799-nucleotide long non-coding RNA. Lineage: Eukaryota; Metazoa; Chordata; Actinopteri; Salmoniformes; Salmonidae. The record is from Ensembl.